Molecule: transfer RNA, 90 nt
Filed under: Dentipellis sp. KUC8613
Lineage: Eukaryota; Fungi; Basidiomycota; Agaricomycetes; Russulales; Hericiaceae
Description: tRNA-Asn
Rfam family: tRNA
About the family: Transfer RNA (tRNA) molecules are approximately 80 nucleotides in length. Their secondary structure includes four short double-helical elements and three loops (D, anti-codon, and T loops).
Source: RNAcentral
UGCCCCAUGGCUGAGUUGGUUACAGCGUCCGACUGUUACUUCCAGUGACUAAAAAUCGGAAGGUCGUGAGUUCGAGCCUCACUGGGGCAG